Molecule: long non-coding RNA, 749 nt
Filed under: Marmota monax (woodchuck)
Lineage: Eukaryota; Metazoa; Chordata; Mammalia; Rodentia; Sciuridae
Source: RNAcentral
AUCCUGAUUGCCUGUUAGCAACUGUCCCUAGCAGAGAAAGGAGGGUGCAGCGGACUUGUGGGAGAAGGAAUUUCAAAAUCCAAGGCACAUCAAGGAGUCCUGGAUGGGCAUGCGACGCAUGGGUUAGAGCAGCAUCAGAUGCUGCAGGGAGGGGACAUGGGAAGGGAAUGGGGCAGUGCGUAGAAUGGGAACCACUUCUGCAACUGCCAGUUUUCUUUCAAAAGUAGCUCCUUGCCUCUGCCUGUAGUUGACCUCCAGGGCUUCAGAUCAGGGCAGCACAACCCAGGUCGCUAGUCCAAGGAAGUGAACCUCAGCCUAUGAAGGGUCAGAGGAUCACAUGCGUGUGCACACACACACAUUUUCCUGUCCCUGCCCCUUCCCUUGACGUGCACAGUGGAGCAACCAAGAACUUGGCAGAUGACUAUGGGUGCAGAGCUUGGCCAAGCAGCACAGGGGCACUGGGGGUAUUAGCAGUGCCCUUUAAAAGGUGUGGGAGCACAGCAUGCUCUGGGCCUGGGUUUUGAGUUUUAACCCUGGAAAAAGAUGGCCCUCCUACCCCUCCCCUUCCCUGGCCUCCUUUUGGGAGUGGCUUUCUCCAGGUGGGCAUUCGUGCCUACCUUCCUUCAGUGCCUGCUGGUGUGGGGCCAGCUGAGGAGUGCUAAGGCAGCUGGAGGAGCAACCUGAGGGGACGGGCAGGGGCAGCCCCGUGCUGGGGACCAUUUCUUAAUAAACCCUCUGUGGCUGUCCCA